Melitaea cinxia (Glanville fritillary) is the source of this 1257-nucleotide long non-coding RNA. RefSeq lists it as uncharacterized. The transcript is spliced from 2 exons. The record is from RefSeq and is a predicted model, not a curated record. NCBI's taxonomy places the organism in Eukaryota, Metazoa, Arthropoda, Insecta, Lepidoptera, Nymphalidae.
UUUAUUUUCAUUUCGUGGAGCUCGAUUGUCUUGUUCACGUGACUGAGUCAAAACAUGGUAAAUAUCCCGUUUAUGAAUAGUUUUAAUGAAAGACAAUUAUUUGUAGAUCCUUCACAGAAAAAAAAUACACCCCAGUGUAAAGUAACAAUGCCAUGCUAAAAAAGUUACCUCCACUGUUUCCUGGUUAUUGGUUGACCGGAAACGAAAAUUUCAACCGAAAUGAAUAGUUUGCGUACUUAGCUUGUGUAUAUUCUUUAUUUUCCUUUUUAUUAUUCACUGUAAAUGUAAUGAGUAAUGACUGACACCUGUAAGUGUAGCGAAAAACCUAAAAUAAACUUAUCGCCAAAUUAAAAGCAAUAAUACUAUUGAAAACAGAGGUAGUAACGAAAAAAAGGGAAAAUUGUCGUAAACCGACUAUGCAGUUAUAUUACUAACUGAGUUGAUAAGUUAACCCAUUGUUCUACACAAUCCCUUACUAAGCAACCUAAAGCUUUUAGAAAAUGUAUUCAAGGUGUACCUACAACAAAGAAUAAAUAAAUAAAAUAAUUCAAUGUUUUUUUUUAAACGUUUAUUUACCAUCAACACGCAAUAGAUAGACAAAAUUUACUAUACACAAAACAACAAGUUGAUAACCGUUACAUUAUAGGGAUUAAUAUGGAUAUUUGAGUUUAUUGUCUAUAACUCUCGUGGAGUAUACUUAUAUUUAAGUUUUAUUAACGUAUUGUCACACUUAUAUAUAGAAAAAUAUCUCUGAAAACAAUUAUCCAUUUUUUACUAACAUAUUAUGUAAAGUUUUAGUCAGUUUUGUUUUGACUCUUUUUUUUUCAGAGAAUGUGUGACAUAUCUUGCACUAAACAUUUUAAGUCGUUUGGUUAGUACGAUUAAAAACUAUUAAUAUUAAAUAAAUUUACUCACAUGAAAUCAAUAAUAGUCAUAAAUUUUCAUUUUAUACGUUCUUGUAUUUUUCGUUUUGCAACUUUAAAUAAUAUAGACUUGUAAGAGGGAAAGAUAUUAAUUCGGAAUAUUAAAAAAAUGUAAAAUGUAAUAACAAAUUCCAAAAAACCGUAAUCGUAAAAAAUUGGAUAAAUGUUUUCAAAAACCGUUAUAUACUUUCUAAGAUUAUGUUAACUUGUGCGAAAUUCGAAAAAUGUGAUGGAAUGACAUUCAAGCAACUUCUAUAGGUAUUAUUGUCAUAAUACUAUGUAAUUAAAGAUAAUUUUAUUGAUCAGUGAAUAUAAAAUAAACUUUACAAACGAG